This 253-nucleotide ribosomal RNA is filed under the name uncultured bacterium. RNAcentral describes it as "partial 16S ribosomal RNA". It matches the Rfam family "Bacterial small subunit ribosomal RNA", at positions 524 to 776 of the family's 1533-position model. The record is from RNAcentral.
UACAGAGGUCUCAAGCGUUGUUCGGAAUCACUGGGCUUAAAGGGCGCGUAGGCGGCUCAUCAAGUCCGGGGUGAAAGCCCCCAGCUUAACUGGGGAAGUGCCUCGGAUACUGGUGAACUGGAGGGAGGUAGGGGCGGAUGGAACUUCCGGUGGAGCGGUGAAAUGCGUUGAUAUCGGAAGGAACGCCGGUGGCGAAAGCGAUCCGCUGGACCUCUACUGACGCUGAGGCGCGAAAGCCAGGGGAGCAAACGGG